CCUACGGGCGGCAGCAGUGGGGAAUAUUGGACAAUGGGGGGAACCCUGAUCCAGCCAUGCCGCGUGUGUGAAGAAGGCCCUCGGGUUGUAAAGCACUUUCAGUGAGGAAGAACGCCUGGUGGUUAAUACCCAUCAGGAAAGACAUCACUCACAGAAGAAGCACCGGCUAACUCCGUGCCAGCAGCCGCGGUAAUACGGAGGGUGCGAGCGUUAAUCGGAAUUACUGGGCGUAAAGCGCGCGUAGGUGGCUUGAUAAGCCGGUUGUGAGAGCCCCGGGCUCAACCUGGGAACGGCAUCCGGAACUGUCAAGCUAGAGUGCAGGAGAGGAAGGUAGAAUUCCCGGUGUAGCGGUGAAAUGCGUAGAGAUCGGGAGGAAUACCAGUGGCGAAGGCGGCCUUCUGGACUGACACUGACACUGAGGUGCGAAAGCGUGGGUAGCAAACAGGAUUAGAUACCCUUGUAGUC
This 465-nucleotide ribosomal RNA is filed under the name Vreelandella stevensii. Its description in RNAcentral is "partial 16S ribosomal RNA". It matches the Rfam family "Bacterial small subunit ribosomal RNA", at positions 338 to 795 of the family's 1533-position model. Lineage: Bacteria; Pseudomonadati; Pseudomonadota; Gammaproteobacteria; Oceanospirillales; Halomonadaceae. The record is from RNAcentral.